This is a long non-coding RNA of Galeopterus variegatus (Sunda flying lemur), 280 nucleotides long. RefSeq lists it as uncharacterized. Lineage: Eukaryota; Metazoa; Chordata; Mammalia; Dermoptera; Cynocephalidae. The record is from RefSeq and is a predicted model, not a curated record. The transcript is spliced from 2 exons.
AAAUAAGGGAUCCAGGACUUGAACUGCCCCAGGCUUUCUCACCAACCUCUAAGGAAAGAAAAUCUUGAGAUCAGGUUGCCAGAUGGGAGCUUUCUAACAGAAAUGCGAAGUAGGCUGAAGGCUUUACUACGUGGACUUUAUUCCACUCCCCAACACUAGUAAUAAUCCAUGACUUCUGAGUUCCAACACUUGACUGUAAACUCCAUGAGGGCAGGAAUUCUUAUCAUCUAGCCCAAUGCCUGAAAUAGGAAAGGUGAUCAAUAAAUAUUUGUCAAAUGAA